AUGCCUGCAAUGGCUAGGGCUGCCAAAGCUGGCAGCGGGGAACUCAGUCCUGGUCUUCCAUACGGGUGCCAGGAACUCAGCUGUUUGAGCCUCCCAGGGUCUGCACUGGCAGGAAGCUGGAGCCAGGAGCUGGAGCUGGGAUUCGAACUUAGGCACUUCGAGCUGGAUCAUGGGCAUCUCAACCACCAGACUACAAGUCUGCUCCCACGGUCCGUACUUGCAAGGACUGCAUUUCUGGAGAGGGUGGGUUUUGAUGAGCACACGGGAUGGACAGAAAGAGGACGUGAGAAGACAAGAGAGCUUGCUCCUCAGAUGAUCCACUUGCAGACUUACAGAUGUUCCCUCUGCCGCGUGGAUUAUGACAGGGAGCCAUGCCAAGAUUUUCAGAAGGAACCAUCAGACGCAGCGAAUCUUUCUCAGACCACUGCUCUUUCUCGCAAAUGAAACAAAAUCCCUCUCUUAAAAGUUGCUUCCCUGACCGUUGCUUCAUGAUUUGAUAUUCUCUGGUUGGCUGUAAGACCCCCACAAGUUCUUCCAGCUAUGAAAAUGGACAGUUUCUCUUCCAAGACUGGAUUUCUAUAAAUGUUACAGCAACCUCACAUGGUGCUGACUGAACCGUAUCCAUGGACAAAGAUCAAUUAAAAAAAAGUGGAAAACAUCCAGUAUGGUUCUCAUCCUUCAACCAUCCACUCUCCCACAGUUUCCACCUGUUUCAGGUAUGUGCACAAAGGAUCUUCAAAAACUCAUGGAAAACAUGUAUUACACAAAUGCAAAACACGGAUUUCAGAAUGUCUCCAAAAUACGCUCAUCUUUUAAUUCCAUUUCUACCACACAUUUUUUGAAAUCCCCUUGUACAAUACCCCCGAUUAUUUGUAUGUCAACCUUUCCCAGAACUUAUGGCUAUCACCAACAAGGAGCUUUUUCCUGCAGGAUCCACUCUGUCAUGACUGGAGAUAGAGAUCUUCAUCUCUUGGAUGGCAAAGAUAACCCACAGAGGAAAAUAGCGGAUCCCAAAACCUAAGUAGGCAGUUGAGCCAGUCAGGAAAGUGGGGGAGAAAAAUACAGUGUUUCAACGAAUGCCUCCGUGUCUUCUACAUCAACAAAUACAGGAUUUUCUGAACUUCUACUUUUGACAAGUUCCAUGUUGUCCGUCUUGGGUGCACAAUGAGACUUUUCCACCUUGUAAAUGUUUCCUCCGGUGAGGAAUUUAGCAUCUCUAAGGUAGUUUUUUCUUCUUUGUAACAGGGUUGCUCAUGCCCCUGUGACAAGGAGACUGAGACAAUGGACACUCUACAAAAGUCCUUUUCUCCUUAGGAGCUCAUUACAACAUGAAUAAUUCUAGGGCGAGGCAUGCUUUGCUCAUCUUUGAAUCCUUGUACCAAGAUCAUUUGGUUACAACAUAAGCGUUUGAAUAAACACAUAGAAUUGCUUAUAAAUGUAAAGAAU
This 1446-nucleotide long non-coding RNA is filed under the name Oryctolagus cuniculus (rabbit). Its description in RNAcentral is "lncRNA (ENSOCUG00000035075.1)". The record is from RNAcentral. Lineage: Eukaryota; Metazoa; Chordata; Mammalia; Lagomorpha; Leporidae.